RNAcentral lists this ribosomal RNA (433 nucleotides) under uncultured bacterium. RNAcentral describes it as "partial 16S ribosomal RNA". It matches the Rfam family "Bacterial small subunit ribosomal RNA", at positions 29 to 507 of the family's 1533-position model. The record is from RNAcentral.
AGCGAACGCUGGCGGCAGGCCUAACACAUGCAAGUCGAACGAACUCUUCGGAGUUAGUGGCGGACGGGUGAGUAACACGUGGGAACGUGCCUUUUGGUUCGGAAUAACUCAGGGAAACUUGUGCUAAUACCGAAUGUGCCCUUCGGGGGAAAGAUUUAUCGCCAUUAGAGCGGCCCGCGUCUGAUUAGCUAGUUGGUGAGGUAACGGCUCACCAAGGCGACGAUCAGUAGCUGGUCUGAGAGGAUGACCAGCCACACUGGGACUGAGACACGGCCCAGACUCCGACGGGAGGCAGCAGUGGGGAAUCUUGCGCAAUGGGCGAAAGCCUGACGCAGCCAUGCCGGGUGAAUGAUGAAGGUCUUAGGAUUGUAAAAUUCUUUCACCGGGGACGAUAAUGACGGUACCCGGAGAAGAAGCCCCGGCUAACUUCGUG